RNAcentral lists this ribosomal RNA (486 nucleotides) under uncultured bacterium. RNAcentral's name for it is "partial 16S ribosomal RNA". It matches the Rfam family "Bacterial small subunit ribosomal RNA", at positions 899 to 1397 of the family's 1533-position model. The record is from RNAcentral.
ACUCAAAUGAAUUGACGGGGGCUUGCACAAGCGGUGGAGCGUGUGGCUCAAUUCGUCGCUAAGCGAAGAACCUUACCAAGGCUAGAAAUCCUACUGCACGCCUAUCGAAAGAUAGGAAGCCUUCGAGGGUGUAGGACAGGUGAUGCAUGGCUGUCGUCAGUUCGUGGUUUGAAUCGUUCCCUUCAGUGGGGUAACGAACGCAACCCUCGUUGCCUGUUACAAGUGUCAGGCGAGACUGCCCCCUCACGGGGGAGGAAGGUGAGGAUGACGCCAAGUCAGCAUGUCCCUCUGAUGCCUUGGGCUGCACACGCGCUACAAUCGCCACUACAGCGGGGCGCGACGGGGUAACCCUGAGCAAAUCCUUCAAAAGUGGCGCCAGUUCGGAUAGAGGUCUGCAACCCGACCUCUUGAAGCCGGAAUCGCUAGUAAUCGCGGGUCAGCCACACCGCGGUGAAUACGUUCUCAAGCCUUGUACACACCGCCCGU